RNAcentral lists this ribosomal RNA (805 nucleotides) under Platymantis myersi (Myers' wrinkled ground frog). RNAcentral describes it as "partial 16S ribosomal RNA". It matches the Rfam family "Bacterial large subunit ribosomal RNA", at positions 1246 to 2580 of the family's 2925-position model. Lineage: Eukaryota; Metazoa; Chordata; Amphibia; Anura; Ceratobatrachidae. The record is from RNAcentral.
UAUACUCAACCCUAUAAACCCUCAACCACUAUUGGACGACUCCAUAAAUAUAUGGAAGACACUAUGCUUGAACUAGUAACAAGAAUACGAAAUUCUCCUAAAUGUAAGCAUAAGCCACAAUAGACAGACUAUUGGCAAUUAACGCCCAAUUACAUCAACCCCACCAGAAAACCCUGUAAAACCCAACGUUAACCUUACACCAGAACAUUUUAGGAAAGAUUAAAAGGAGAAGAAGGAACUCGGCAAACCCCAACCCCGCCUGUUUACCAAAAACAUCGCCUCUUGCUCAAAUAUAAGAGGUCCAGCCUGCCCAGUGAUUAUUAAACGGCCGCGGUACCCUAACCGUGCUAAGGUAGCACAAUUACUUGCCCUUUAAAUGGGGGCUAGAAUGAAUGACACCACGAGGGUUAUACUGUCUCCUCCCCCCAAUCAGUGAAACUGACCUCCCCGUGAAAAGGCGGGGAUCAAAAUAUUAGACGAGAAGACCCCAUGGAGCUUUAGACACCAGGUAAAUUUAGACACUUUAUCUCUAAGUCUAAAAUAUAUACCCUUAAGUCUUCGGUUGGGGCGACCAUGGAGUAAAAAUCAACCUCCACGACGAACGGAUUAUUCCUUAUCCAAGAGCAACACCUCCAAGAAACAGAACACUGACGCCUACUGAUCCGGAAGCCCGAUCAACGAACCAAGUUACCCUGGGGAUAACAGCGCAAUCUACCUUGAGAGUUCAUAUUGACAGGUGGGUUUACGACCUCGAUGUUGGAUCAGGGUAUCCUGGUGGUGCAGCCGCUACACAUGGUUCGUUUGU